Molecule: ribosomal RNA, 553 nt
Filed under: uncultured bacterium
Lineage: Bacteria
Description: bacterial SSU rRNA
Rfam family: Bacterial small subunit ribosomal RNA
Source: RNAcentral
AUCACUAAGUGAGUUUGAUCCUGGCUCAGAUUGAACGCUGGCGGCAGGCCUAACACAUGCAAGUCGAACGGUAACAUUUCUAGCUUGCUAGAAGAUGACGAGUGGCGGACGGGUGAGUAAUGCUUGGGAACUUGCCUUUGCGAGGGGGAUAACAGUUGGAAACGACUGCUAAUACCGCAUAAUGUCUUCGGACCAAACGGGGCUUAGACUCCGGCGCAAAGAGAGGCCCAAGUGAGAUUAGCUAGUUGGUAAGGUAACGGCUUACCAAGGCGACGAUCUCUAGCUGUUCUGAGAGGAAGAUCAGCCACACUGGGACUGAGACACGGCCCAGACUCCUACGGGAGGCAGCAGUGGGGAAUAUUGCACAAUGGGGGAAACCCUGAUGCAGCCAUGCCGCGUGUGUGAAGAAGGCCUUCGGGUUGUAAAGCACUUUCAGUUGUGAGGAAAAGUUAGUAGUUAAUACCUGCUAGCCGUGACGUUAACAACAGAAGAAGCACCGGCUAAAUCCGUGCCUGCAGCCGCGGUAAUACGGAAGGUGCAAGCGUUAAUCGGA